Carassius auratus (goldfish) is the source of this 119-nucleotide ribosomal RNA. NCBI's taxonomy places the organism in Eukaryota, Metazoa, Chordata, Actinopteri, Cypriniformes, Cyprinidae. The record is from Ensembl.
GCUUACGGCCAUACCAACCUGGCUAUGCCUGAUCUCGUCUGAUCUCAGAAGCUAAGCAGGUUUGGGCCUGGUUAGUACUUGGAUGGGAGACCACCUGGGAAUACCAGGUGCUGUAAGCU